This is a long non-coding RNA of Gopherus flavomarginatus (Mexican gopher tortoise), 4048 nucleotides long. RefSeq lists it as uncharacterized. Lineage: Eukaryota; Metazoa; Chordata; Testudines; Testudinidae. The record is from RefSeq and is a predicted model, not a curated record. The transcript has 2 exons.
ACACUCAGCUCUACCAGAAAUAUCCUCAGCUUUACUUCAAACCCUGCCAACAGCUACAUUCUGACCGAUCCGCGUUUUCAGCUGUAUGCUGGCGAAGGGCAGGUGAGAGAGGAGCAAAGGUGGGUUCUGAGGACGUUAAGAACGAGCCCUGACGGAACAGUUCCAUUCCUGUUCCUGCUGGGGACUCCCUUCCUGGUUCCAAACCACGUUAGAUUGCAGCUUGUGGUGAGGAGUUGCUUGAUGAUUCCAGCUAAACAAGUGAGGCGAGUUUAAUGGGUGGAAUCCUCAUCCUUUGGGGUCCCUGUUCCUGGCAUUUCACAGGGACUUAUUCUCAUGAGGUGAGAGGGGGAUGACUGGCAUCACUAGUCAGUGUGGGCCCUGUUGGAAAGGGAGGUUUUUCUCCAAGCUCUAUUGAACUGAUCAUGGGACCAGGAGUCAGGACCAUCUAUGUUCCGGCACUGGGUCUGCUACUGAAUUCCUCAGAGAUGAGUCAUUUAAUCUCUCUGCCUUGGUUUGCCCAUUGGUGAAAUGGGAAUAGUAAUGCCCACCUCACGGGGAUGCUGGGAGGACUCUGGCUAAUGUUUAUAAGGAGAGUUGAUGAUUAAGAGUAAGUUGCACAGUAAGCAGUUUAUCAUCUAAUUAAUCAUGCAGGCUGGCUACCAUGACUGAGUUCACCCAUUCUCUGGCAUCUAAGAGGAGACCAAAGACAAGAGCAAUACAGGGAGGGGACCGCAUCAUUUCCUUUAUGCAUUGCUAGCAUGUUCUGCCUUCUGCUUCCAUGCUGUCUGCGUCACUGUGGAGAAGUGGGGGGCCCUGGAAAUGUGUAUGUGGCUAUUCCCAGCCUCUGCCAUUUUCAUACUCUGGCCAGAGCAGCCGUGGGUCAGCAUGGAGGGCACAGGAAGGAAACGGUGGCAGAUUUCAGGCUGCCCUCAGUCUCUGAGUUUAUUUACAGCACAGACCAUGCUGCCCGCAAGUGAUCAGCUCCAGAACAUUAAAGACCCAUUGGAUUCCAGGCCGGGAGUGUUUAACAGACGAUCUACCUUCUGCGGCAGGUUGCUCCUUUCCUUGUGCUGCUUCUCACACCCACAGCUCAAAGUGGUUCCUGUAGCACUUACAGGUGCCUGCAUACAUUCAUCUCUGCUUCAUGCCAGCGUCCUUUGUUCCUGUGAGGCUGGGCUGGGUUUGUCCCAUACAUGCCCUGAUGAGGUCUGAACUGUCCCUCUGCUCUUGGAGAGUUUUUGCUUGUGCUUAUUUUCAGACAUGAAGAUCUAUUUUCAGCCCAUAAUUACAUACAUGAAAUUAUAACCUAUAACAUCACUGUAACAAUAAUGCUCAGUGCAUCAUGAGCCUUCUGAAGACACCUGACAAGACAAACUUUGCAGUGGAUACCACACAAUCAUUUUACAAGGAUGAGCAUGGGGCUGCUCGGUGUUCUCCCGAGGUACAGAGCAUCACAGGAGGGUCCCUUGUAUGAGAGAGACGUGUGAUUUUAGUACUUUUGAGUGGAGUUGAUGCUGCUUUGACAGCCCCUCAAGAUGAAGUCCUCUCUUUAUCCACAGGGUAAAUGCAGCGUGAGCAGUAGGAAGCCCAGCCUUCCCUCACUGCCCUGUUAGUGCUCCUCGGCCUCGACCUGGCAGGACUGUCCCUAAGGAUGAGUUCUAGGCCCAUUGAUAACGAAUUCCUGCUUUGACUCCCGUCCCAGGUCAAUUAGUGCCAUUUGGGGUGAGAAAUUUAGCACACUGGAUAUGACUAAGCCAAGGGCAGGGGGAGGGGGCAGAGAAAGCAUCAAAUUGUCACAAUGUCUGGUCACUACAGCCUGGGGCUGCAUUCAAGCUGGCAUUCUAGGCUCAAGAAGCUUUACAUCUCCCAACAUGUCACUAUAAAGGAAAUAUAAUGGGAAGUCCAUGGGAAUUCUGGUGCACACACCAGCUAGCAACUGUAGAUGAUAGAUGCAAAACCAAAGACAUUGCCUGAUCGUAAUUAAAUUAUGCCUCUGUGACGGAAUAGGGAGUGGGGAGUAUUGACCUGGGGAUGUUGCGUGGGAGUUUUACUGGUACCGUCUGCAUUGGUGCUGGAUGGUGAUGGGAUAUCAGGGUGUGACUUCACUUGAGGAAUGAUACUUGAGCGUGUAACCUGAGUCUAGGAGAGGGAUGGGGCCGGGUGACACCUUCUGCCUGGGAAACUGGACAAUGGCUGGAGGAGGAGCCUGGCUGGGUGAGACGGCUGGAGGGGGUUUCAGUUUGGAGCUGGGGAACCAGAGGAAGACCCAGGACCAGGGUCUAGGCUCCCUGCCCCCCAUGAUGGACCUGACUGAGGGGGUCCUGUUGUCUGUACCUACAAGCUCUGUUUGGGACUCUGUUCCUGUCAUCUAAUAAACCUUCUGUUUUACUGGUUGGCUGAGAGUCACACUGAAUCGAAGGAAGUGAGGGGGUUCAGGGCUCUGACUCCCCAACUCUCCGUGACAGCCUCCCAGCGUGGAGAGAGAGUUGAGACCCCCCCACACCCCUUCCACCUUCUACUGCAUCCAACCAAUGUACAGGAAUAGUCUGGCUUCCAUAGCACUAGAACAUGGAGUAUGCAUAUGUGGGUUUGUGGUCCACUCCUACAUACACCAGGAUGGCAGUGCUGUGCACUAACCUAGGCUGCUACAUGCUUACAUAAGAAUCAUGCUUCCAGCCACCUUCCUGGGGAUGGUGAACCUGCCCAUCUCACCAGCAUGGCUCAACAUAAUAAUAGAAGCAAUCAAAUUCUGACUGAGUAGGCAAACACAUGGAGUUAGUUGGCUCUGAAAGAGGUUUGAAAAGUUCAGUCCAUUUAUUAAUGACCAGCAGUAGGAUCCAACAGAAGAAAAAUGUCCAUUCUGCUGAGCUUCUCAGAUGCCUCUGAUAUUCUCCUCUGAUUUCCAUAGUAAUAAAUUGUCUAUGAAAAAAAUCUAUCUAGAAUGUUGUGAACAAUUUUUUAAAGAACUUGGAUAUGAAAGUAAUUGCUCAGAGAUCUGUAUCUAAAUUGCUGAACUGGUACCAACCAAAGAGCAAAUGUGAUUUUGACAAAUGUUCCUAGCACACUCAGAAGCUGUGACAUUGUGAGGAGUGGAAUAACUCAGCCAAUAACAGGCUAUGGAAGGCUUAACGUUUGACUUUUUCUUCCAUAGUUGUUGUUACUUAAAAUGUCAACUUCAUUUGACUUGCUGUUGUAUGCAACUUUCACAUAAUGGGCCUGAUUCUCCAUUGACUGCAUCCUGGGUAGUUAUUCUCAUCAGUGCCCAAUGGGUGUGAAAUUCCACCAUCCUCACUUGGUUGUGUUUCACAUACACUUUGCACUGUACACCAGGUGCAGGGCAGUAGAGAAUGGAGUCCAAUCUGUGGUACAGAUUUUUUUCAUGCAUGCUUUAUUUUAUUUCUACUGCAGUAGUGCCCAAAGGGCCUAAUCAAAACCAGGUCUCCAGGGAGUUGUACAAACACACACAAGGUCAUAGUCCUUGUCCCAACGGAAUGCAAAAAGACAAAUGAUCCACAAUGUUCAGCGAGCGGUAGGAUCAAAUAGAUACAAUUUGUUAAUAGAGAUGCAUUUCUUUUUAAAUGUGAUUUAUUAUUAUAAAUGGUUAAAGGGUGGGACUUUCCAAAGUAAUAAGGGGUCCAAUUCCCAUUGAUUUUCCAUUGACAGAGAUUAAUGUUUUGUUUUAAACUAUGUAAAAUGCCCAGAUGCUUUGGCAAUGGAGGGAUAAUAUAUCAAUCAAUGAAUAAUAUUUCUGCUUGCUAACUUCAGUAUUCAAUCUGGGAAUGAUGGGACAAUGUUUUGCAUUAGACUUUGAAUAAAGCCCCAUAAAAUAGGGUCGUUUAUAGUAAUUUGUUUCUUUUUUUGCUAUAUGCAGAGGAUUAUGAGCUGUGUUCACAAAAGAUUAUGGGAUCCGGCCACCAAGGAUUCUGAGUUUGGGGUCACAUGAAGUCACUUGUGUGGUCAGAGGCAGCAAAGGUUAGAGAACCAGGCUUCUGGCAAGAUGAAAACUGUGAUUUAUUUCCUUUUCAUGCGAUUCAAAAAAAACCAAAAC